AAGGAACUAGUCUAAUAUAAGACAACUAACUUCGACUUAGUUAAUCAUGACUAACUCUCAUGGUCCCCUA
Molecule: transfer RNA, 70 nt
Filed under: Kinosternon flavescens (yellow mud turtle)
Lineage: Eukaryota; Metazoa; Chordata; Testudines; Kinosternidae
Description: tRNA-Arg
Source: RNAcentral